This 378-nucleotide long non-coding RNA is filed under the name Setaria viridis. Its description in RNAcentral is "long non-coding RNA (SVIR_LNC010086)". The record is from RNAcentral. Lineage: Eukaryota; Viridiplantae; Streptophyta; Magnoliopsida; Poales; Poaceae.
UUAAAGGACUCGCAUAACCCUCGAGUCUCCGGUUGAUCUUCUGCACAGCCUCUAGAUCCAAUCUAACCAUAGUUCUUAAUACCAAUUGUUAGAGGGCACAUCGGAAUCCGAUCCAACAUGCUAUACCCAUGAGUUGGUGCCCCACUAGGCCCAGGUCCACCGAAGCCCACAACAACAAAGUUUUCGGACCUCACUCAACCCAAAAGACUAGCCUGAUGGGUGAGGGCUACCCCCACCUAUAUGUUGUGCUCCCCCACCAUCAAUUUUUGAUGUGGGAUUAAACCUAACAAUCUCCCCCGUCACACAUCGGGUCCAACUCUUCCAUCACAAGCAACCCAUGAACCCGUGUGACCCUCCGGAGACGUUCACGGGCUCCCC